AACGAACGCUGGCGGCGUGUCUUAAGCAUGCAAGUCGAGCGGCAAGGGCUAGCAAUAGCCCCUAGAGCGGCGGACGGGUGAGUAACACGUGAGUAAUCUGCCUUCUGCAGGGGAAUAACAUUGUGAAAACAGUGCUAAUACCGCAUGACAUCCGACUGGGACAUCCCGGACGGACCAAAGGAGAAAUCCGGCAGAAGAUGAGCUCGCGUCCGAUUAGCUAGUUGGCGGGGUAACGGCCCACCAAGGCUUCGAUCGGUAGCCGAACUGAGAGGUUGAUCGGCCACAUUGGGACUGAGACACGGCCCAGACUCCUACGGGAGGCAG
Molecule: ribosomal RNA, 324 nt
Filed under: uncultured Bacillota bacterium
Lineage: Bacteria; Bacillati; Bacillota
Description: bacterial SSU rRNA
Rfam family: Bacterial small subunit ribosomal RNA
Source: RNAcentral